UCUGUUAUCUAUCUUCUUCCUCCAUAACCUAAAAUAAGGAAAAAACCUAGAUGCUCGAUUAAGCCAUAGGUUCCCCUCUGAGCAAGAUCCACCCUCCCCCUUACCAUCGAUGGAACACUAUCUUUCAUUAUCCAAAUCUCACAAAAAUCAAACAAAGUUUUAUCUCACUUGUUCCUUCUCCUUUCCACCACCCCCGAAUCAGAGUAGCAUAGUUGGCUGCCUGCCACAUCUGCGAGCGUCUCCCUUAUUUUCAUCAUGGCCAGUCCGUGAAUCUG
RNAcentral lists this long non-coding RNA (275 nucleotides) under Capsicum annuum. RNAcentral's name for it is "long non-coding RNA (CANN_LNC003312)". Lineage: Eukaryota; Viridiplantae; Streptophyta; Magnoliopsida; Solanales; Solanaceae. The record is from RNAcentral.